AUUCCUACGGGAGGCAGCAGUGGGGAAUAUUGCACAAUGGGGGAAACCCUGAUGCAGCCAUGCCGCGUGUGUGAAGAAGGCCUUCGGGUUGUAAAGCACUUUCAGCGAGGAGGAAAGGUCCGUAGCUAAUAUCUGCUGGCUGUGACGUUACUCGCAGAAGAAGCACCGGCUAACUCCGUGCCAGCAGCCGCGGUAAUAAU
RNAcentral lists this ribosomal RNA (200 nucleotides) under uncultured bacterium. Its description in RNAcentral is "partial 16S ribosomal RNA". It matches the Rfam family "Bacterial small subunit ribosomal RNA", at positions 335 to 526 of the family's 1533-position model. The record is from RNAcentral.